AUGAGUGGUGUUUGGUUUGAUACGGGUGGUCGGCUCCCUGCUUGAGCAGGCACGGCCACGCGUGCAUUCCUUUUCAGUUGUGCGGCAAGGCUUGUANCGUCUUGAUCGUAUAAGUGGGUUUCUUGUGUUGCAUACCUGAUCAAUGGCAUCGUUUUGAUCAAAAUGGUUCCUUUUUCGUCUGACGAUGCACUUAUUGCGUUGUCGGAUGAACCGUGUAGCAUCCUCUUUGAUCCAUACAGUUGACGUGUACUCGUUGAUUGUUUGGCCCGUUGAGGGUGACUUGGUCUCUCGGAUAUGGAAGCCAAGGUGGGCAUGGGUUCGCAAGUUCCCUUUAUUGCCCUCAUUGAGCGUUCUCGCUUCUCUUACACGACUGCCUUUCACGUAUGGCACGUCCCAGCGUGUUUGGCUAUGUCGAAGAGGAAU
This 423-nucleotide unclassified non-coding RNA is filed under the name Solidago ptarmicoides. Its description in RNAcentral is "partial external transcribed spacer". Lineage: Eukaryota; Viridiplantae; Streptophyta; Magnoliopsida; Asterales; Asteraceae. The record is from RNAcentral.